RNAcentral lists this ribosomal RNA (292 nucleotides) under uncultured bacterium. RNAcentral's name for it is "partial 16S ribosomal RNA". It matches the Rfam family "Bacterial small subunit ribosomal RNA", at positions 505 to 796 of the family's 1533-position model. The record is from RNAcentral.
GUGCCAGCCGCCGCGGUAAUACGUAGGGGGCGAGCGUUGUCCGGAAUUACUGGGCGUAAAGCGCGCGUAGGUGGUUUUCUAAGACCGAUGUGAAAUCUCCGCGCUUACCGUGGAGAGGUCGUUGGUGACUGGGAGACUUGAGUUUGGCAGAGGUGAGUGGAAUUCCCGGUGGAGCGGUGAAAUGCGUAGAGAUCGGGAGGAACACCAGUGGCGAAGGCGGCUCACUGGGCCAUGACUGACGCUGAGGCGCGAAAGCGUGGGGAGCGAACCGGAUUAGAAACCCCUGUAGUCC